GAAUACCCAGCUUGAUAAGGCUCCUACGACAUCUGUCACCCCAUUGAUCGCCAGGGUUGAUUCAGCUGAUCUGGCUGGAUAGGCAGGUGUCCCCUUCCUCUCUCAUCGCUCCAUGUGUGUCCCUCCUAAAGCUGCAUGCUAGGUCAAAGCUGCAUGCUAGGUCAAAGAGGACGGCCAGCCCCGAUAGAGGAGGACUGGUCUUCAGUCAAGGGUAUACAAGUAGCUGUGCUCCCCGGCUAGAACCUCCAAACAAGCUCUCAAGUUCCAGAAGGAAGUGAAAGAAAAAGGAAACCAAGAAUGUGGAUAGAGU
This 310-nucleotide small nuclear RNA is filed under the name Rhinopithecus bieti (black snub-nosed monkey). RNAcentral describes it as "7SK RNA (ENSRBIG00000011989.1)". It matches the Rfam family "7SK RNA". Rfam says of the family: 7SK was discovered as an abundant small nuclear RNA in the mid-70s but a possible function has only recently been suggested. Two independent studies have found that 7SK RNA binds the CDK9/cyclin T complex (known as elongation factor P-TEFb). The record is from Rfam by way of RNAcentral. Lineage: Eukaryota; Metazoa; Chordata; Mammalia; Primates; Cercopithecidae.